This 201-nucleotide ribosomal RNA is filed under the name uncultured bacterium. Its description in RNAcentral is "partial 16S ribosomal RNA". It matches the Rfam family "Bacterial small subunit ribosomal RNA", at positions 331 to 524 of the family's 1533-position model. The record is from RNAcentral.
GCGGCGCCCUACGGGAGGCAGCAGUAGGGAAUCUUCCGCAAUGGACGAAAGUCUGACGGAGCAACGCCGCGUGAGCGAAGAAGGUCUUCGGAUCGUAAAGCUCUGUUGUUAGGGAAGAACAAGUAUCGGAGGGAAUGCCGGUACCUUGACGGUACCUGACGAGAAAGCCACGGCUAACUACGUGCCAGCAGCCGCGGUAAU